AAAAAUAGUUAGAACGGUCAUUCAAUAGUUAACUGCAAGUCUUGUUUUAUUUUUCGUGUGUUCUAGUAUGCUUCCUAUCUGAAACUGCAGGUUAACAUUGUUUUCAUCUACACAAGUCACUGCAAUUCACCAAGUGGUGGAAAAUUAUUGUUUUGCAGUGAUUUCCGACAAGUGAAAAGGUUAUCCAUAGUCUAACACUAUCAUUCCAUAACCUUAACUCUUGUUUGCUUGCACAUUCACUUUGACUCUUUGCAACAGCCCAUCUGCACAACUUGUUCCUGGCUAUAAUGUUGAUUUCUUGAUUGCAAGUAGAAGGCACUGAGAAGUUACUAUGUAUUACCCUGCAUUCCUAAAUGCUUGAUGUUGCUCUUCAUUCACUGCUAGCAAUCAUCAACUUAAUUCUUGCAUCACAAAUUAAUCCUUUUCCCCUUGUGAGACCCGACAUUCUUUAAUUAAGGGAUAGCAACCAAUCACUGACCUUUUCCUAUUUUAAGAUCUAAUCAGAUUGGUUGAGUAUAAACCAUCUAAAUCUUAAUUUGGAAUAGUUUUAGUUGUUGAGAUCAUAUUUACUAAAAACUCUUUUUUUUCAGCAAUUGUCUAUUGUUUGUUUUUUUACUUUCUGUCAAGGUUGUUUGUUAGUAUAAAAGUUGCUGAUAAUCCAAUCAAUAGGGCAUACUCAACCCUCCAUUUUGAAUAAUGUUCCAUAGACAGAACGUUGUCUUUUUGGCGGGUCAUGGAGAGUAGAAGAAUAUCUGCAUGAGAAUUCAAGUUUAAGUUUAACAAGAAUUCUGCUUUACCGAUGUCUUGCGAACAAUCUCAAGCAAAAGAUCAAACAGUAUGCAAAUGAAGAUGCCUCAUUGAUCUACUACAAGCCAUCAAUAUCUCCAAAGAAAGGUAGGUGAAAAUCUAUCAAGAAAACUCUAGAGUAUAGCUCAUCCAGGUAAGAAUCCUACAUUUCAUGAAACUUUGUUCCAAUACCAAAGAUUUAAUCUCAAAACUGGUCGAGUUCUCAACCACUAUGGAUUAACAGCAGAUGAAUGAUAACAUGGUAGUAUUUCACUACAAAUUAUAAGGAUGAACUGUUGCUGCUAAUAGGAUCAAAUGUGAGAAGCACAAGGUUAUAAGGAGUAUUCAAUGCAACAUAUUUUAGAGGUACGGUGGAAUUAAUAACAUGUCCUUUGGCGCUGUGCCGGCUUCCAGGACUGCAUGCCUUUCG
Dioscorea cayenensis subsp. rotundata (Guinea yam) is the source of this 1216-nucleotide long non-coding RNA. RefSeq lists it as uncharacterized. The transcript is spliced from 5 exons. NCBI's taxonomy places the organism in Eukaryota, Viridiplantae, Streptophyta, Magnoliopsida, Dioscoreales, Dioscoreaceae. The record is from RefSeq and is a predicted model, not a curated record.